Molecule: ribosomal RNA, 497 nt
Filed under: uncultured bacterium
Lineage: Bacteria
Description: partial 16S ribosomal RNA
Rfam family: Bacterial small subunit ribosomal RNA
Source: RNAcentral
GAUGAACGCUGGCGGCGUGUCUAAUACAUGCAAGUCGAGCGAACAGACGAGGAGCUUGCUCCUCUGACGUUAGCGGCGGACGGGUGAGUAACACGUGGAUAACCUACCUAUAAGACUGGGAUAACUUCGGGAAACCGGAGCUAAUACCGGAUAAUAUAUUGAACCGCAUGGUUCAAUAGUGAAAGACGGUUUUGCUGUCACUUAUAGAUGGAUCCGCGCCGCAUUAGCUAGUUGUUAAGUUAACGGCUUACCAAGGCAACGAUGCGUAGCCGACCUGAGAGGGUGAUCGGCCACACUGGAACUGAGACACGGUCCAGACUCCUACGGGAGGCAGCAGUAGGGAAUCUGACGCAAUGGGCGAAAGCCUGACGGAGCAACGCCGCGUGAGUGAUGAAGGUCUUCGGAUCGUAAAACUCUGUUAUUAGGGAAGAACAAAUGUGUAAGUAACUAUGCACGUCUUGACGGUACCUAAUCAGAAAGCCACGGCUAACUACGUG